Molecule: ribosomal RNA, 544 nt
Filed under: Bacillus pumilus
Lineage: Bacteria; Bacillati; Bacillota; Bacilli; Caryophanales; Bacillaceae
Description: bacterial SSU rRNA
Rfam family: Bacterial small subunit ribosomal RNA
Source: RNAcentral
UGACGCGCAUUUUUUUCAGAAGAAGAAAGUCAGACGCAGCUACGCGGGGUGAGUGACAAAGAAUUUCGGAUGGUAAAGCUUUGUUGUUAGGGAAGAACAAGAGCAAGAGUAAUUGCUUGCACUUUUACGGUACAUAACCAGAAAGCCACGGCUAAAUACGUGCCAGCAGCCGCGGUAAUACGUAGGUGGCAAGCGUUGUCCGGAAUUAUUGGGCGUAAAGGGCUCGCAGGCGGUUUCUUAAGUCUGAUGUGAAAGCCCCCGGCUCAACCGGGGAGGGUCAUUGGAAACUGGGAAACUUGAGUGCAGAAGAGGAGAGUGGAAUUCCACGUGUAGCGGUGAAAUGCGUAGAGAUGUGGAGGAACACCAGUGGCGAAGGCGACUCUCUGGUCUGUAACUGACGCUGAGGAGCGAAAGCGUGGGGAGCGAACAGGAUUAGAUACCCUGGUAGUCCACGCCGUAAACGAUAGUGCUAAGUGUUAGGGGGUUUCCGCCCCUUAGUGCUGCAGCUAACGCAUAAGCACUCUCGCCUGGAGAACGGAGGGCC